CAUGCCGCGUGUGUGAAGAAGGCCUUCGGGUUGUAAAGCACUUUCAGUGAGGAGGAAAAGCUGAUGGUUAAUACCCAUCGGCCUUGACGUUACUCACAGAAGAAGCACCGGCUAACUCCGUGCCAGCCACUGCGGUGACUGAGCGGGCUGGCAAGGCGCAUA
RNAcentral lists this ribosomal RNA (162 nucleotides) under uncultured bacterium. RNAcentral's name for it is "partial 16S ribosomal RNA". It matches the Rfam family "Bacterial small subunit ribosomal RNA", at positions 393 to 539 of the family's 1533-position model. The record is from RNAcentral.